Non-coding RNA from Picea glauca (white spruce), 121 nucleotides. NCBI's taxonomy places the organism in Eukaryota, Viridiplantae, Streptophyta, Pinopsida, Pinales, Pinaceae. The record is from Rfam.
AUAUGCCUACAACAUAGCAUCAAUGCACUAGAUCCCAUUAGAACUACGCAGUUAAGCGCACUCAAGCUAGAGUAGUACCGGGAUGGGUGACUGCCCAGGAAGCCCUAGUGUUUUACAUGCC